Molecule: ribosomal RNA, 557 nt
Filed under: Vibrio cholerae RC27
Lineage: Bacteria; Pseudomonadati; Pseudomonadota; Gammaproteobacteria; Vibrionales; Vibrionaceae
Description: bacterial LSU rRNA
Rfam family: Bacterial large subunit ribosomal RNA
Source: RNAcentral
UGCGAGAAUGACGGUUCGAGCAGGUGCGAAAGCAGGUCAUAGUGAUCCGGUGGUUCUGUAUGGAAGGGCCAUCGCUCAACGGAUAAAAGGUACUCCGGGGAUAACAGGCUGAUACCGCCCAAGAGUUCAUAUCGACGGCGGUGUUUGGCACCUCGAUGUCGGCUCAUCACAUCCUGGGGCUGAAGUCGGUCCCAAGGGUAUGGCUGUUCGCCAUUUAAAGUGGUACGCGAGCUGGGUUUAGAACGUCGUGAGACAGUUCGGUCCCUAUCUGCCGUGGGCGUUGGAAGAUUGAAGGGGGCUGCUCCUAGUACGAGAGGACCGGAGUGGACGAACCUCUGGUGUUCGGGUUGUGUCGCCAGACGCAUUGCCCGGUAGCUAAGUUCGGAAUUGAUAAGCGCUGAAAGCAUCUAAGCGCGAAGCGAGCCCUGAGAUGAGUCUUCCCUGACAGUUUAACUGUCCUAAAGGGUUGUUCGAGACUAGAACGUUGAUAGGCAGGGUGUGUAAGCGUUGUGAGGCGUUGAGCUAACCUGUACUAAUUGCCCGUGAGGCUUAACCAU